AGAGUUUGAUCAUGGCUCAGAUUGAACGCUGGCGGCAGGCCUAACACAUGCAAGUCGAGCGGUAGCACAGAGAGCUUGCUCUCGGGUGACGAGCGGCGGACGGGUGAGUAAUGUCUGGGAAACUGCCUGAUGGAGGGGGAUAACUACUGGAAACGGUAGCUAAUACCGCAUAACGUCGCAAGACCAAAGUGGGGGACCUUCGGGCCUCAUGCCAUCAGAUGUGCCCAGAUGGGAUUAGCUAGUAGGUGGGGUAACGGCUCACCUAGGCGACGAUCCCUAGCUGGUCUGAGAGGAUGACCAGCCACACUGGAACUGAGACACGGUCCAGACUCCUACGGGAGGCAGCAGUGGGGAAUAUUGCACAAUGGGCGCAAGCCUGAUGCAGCCAUGCCGCGUGUGUGAAGAAGGCCUUCGGGUUGUAAAGCACUUUCAGCGGGGAGGAAGGCGGUGAGGUUAAUAACCUCAUCGAUUGACGUUACCCGCAGAAGAAGCACCGGCUAACUCCGUGCCAGCAGCCGCGGUAAUACGGAGGGUGCAAGCGUUAAUCGGAAUUACUGGGCGUAAAGCGCACGCAGGCGGUCUGUCAAGUCGGAUGUGAAAUCCCCGGGCUCAACCUGGGAACUGCAUUCGAAACUGGCAGGCUAGAGUCUUGUAGAGGGGGGUAGAAUUCCAGGUGUAGCGGUGAAAUGCGUAGAGAUCUGGAGGAAUACCGGUGGCGAAGGCGGCCCCCUGGACAAAGACUGACGCUCAGGUGCGAAAGCGUGGGGAGCAAACAGGAUUAGAUACCCUGGUAGUCCACGCCGUAAACGAUGUCGAUUUGGAGGUUGUGCCCUUGAGGCGUGGCUUCCGGAGCUAACGCGUUAAAUCGACCGCCUGGGGAGUACGGCCGCAAGGUUAAAACUCAAAUGAAUUGACGGGGGCCCGCACAAGCGGUGGAGCAUGUGGUUUAAUUCGAUGCAACGCGAAGAACCUUACCUGGUCUUGACAUCCACAGAACUUUCCAGAGAUGGAUUGGUGCCUUCGGGAACUGUGAGACAGGUGCUGCAUGGCUGUCGUCAGCUCGUGUUGUGAAAUGUUGGGUUAAGUCCCGCAACGAGCGCAACCCUUAUCCUUUGUUGCCAGCGGUUCGGCCGGGAACUCAAAGGAGACUGCCAGUGAUAAACUGGAGGAAGGUGGGGAUGACGUCAAGUCAUCAUGGCCCUUACGACCAGGGCUACACACGUGCUACAAUGGCAUAUACAAAGAGAAGCGACCUCGCGAGAGCAAGCGGACCUCAUAAAGUAUGUCGUAGUCCGGAUUGGAGUCUGCAACUCGACUCCAUGAAGUCGGAAUCGCUAGUAAUCGUAGAUCAGAAUGCUACGGUGAAUACGUUCCCGGGCCUUGUACACACCGCCCGUCACACCAUGGGAGUGGGUUGCAAAAGAAGUAGGUAGCUUAACCUUCGGGAGGGCGCUUACCACUUUGUGAUUCAUGACUGGGGUGAAGUCGUAACAAGGUAACCGUAGGGGAACCUGCGGUUGGAUCACCU
This 1528-nucleotide ribosomal RNA is filed under the name Klebsiella aerogenes. RNAcentral's name for it is "bacterial SSU rRNA". It matches the Rfam family "Bacterial small subunit ribosomal RNA". RNAcentral also lists the same sequence under 6 other names. The record is from RNAcentral. Lineage: Bacteria; Pseudomonadati; Pseudomonadota; Gammaproteobacteria; Enterobacterales; Enterobacteriaceae.